RNAcentral lists this ribosomal RNA (551 nucleotides) under uncultured bacterium. RNAcentral describes it as "bacterial SSU rRNA". It matches the Rfam family "Bacterial small subunit ribosomal RNA", at positions 355 to 896 of the family's 1533-position model. The record is from RNAcentral.
UAGGGAAUCUUCCGCAAUGGGCGAAAGCCUGACGGAGCAACGCCGCGUGAGUGAUGAAGGUCUUCGGAUCNGUAAAACUCUGUUAUUAGGGAAGAAUAUAUGUGUAAGUAACUGUGCACAUCUUGACGGUACCUAAUCAGAAAGCCACGGCUAACUACGUGCCAGCAGCCGCGGUAAUACGUAGGUGGCAAGCGUUAUCCGGAAUUAUUGGGCGUAAAGCGCGCGUAGGCGGUUUUUUAAGUCUGAUGUGAAAGCCCACGGCUCAACCGUGGAGGGUCAUUGGAAACUGGAAAACUUGAGUGCAGAAGAGGAAAGUGGAAUUCCAUGUGUAGCGGUGAAAUGCGCAGAGAUAUGGAGGAACACCAGUGGCGAAGGCGGCUUUCUGGUCUGUAACUGACGCUGAUGUGCGAAAGCGUGGGGAUCAAACAGGAUUAGAUACCCUGGUAGUCCACGCCGUAAACGAUGAGUGCUAAGUGUUAGGGGGUUUCCGCCCCUUAGUGCUGCAGCUAACGCAUUAAGCACUCCGCCUGGGGAGUACGACCGCAAGGUUG